AUGCAAAAUUCGAAAGAGAGGACAAAGGGUGGUAUCUGCUUGAAGCGCCCGAAGUUAAUCCCAACAUUACUUUACCAAGGAACAUUAGAGCAUCAUCAGGUAAUGAUUUGUUUUAGACAAUUGAUAAAAACGGAAGCUUAUUUUAAAAAAACGGAUGUUGAUCUGUCUAGGGCGAUUCCUAAGGCGGACCAGAACAUCUGUUGGGAGCAACUCUUGGUUUGCAAGCAAACACAACAGUGUAUGCUUAUCUUGCGCUUAGCGUCUUCUCAUUUGGCUGGUGUGUAUCUAAACAGAACUACGCAGGAAAAGAGAUCGAGUCAAGAGUUGAAUUGUUGA
This 336-nucleotide ribosomal RNA is filed under the name Triticum aestivum (bread wheat). RNAcentral's name for it is "partial small subunit ribosomal RNA". The record is from RNAcentral. Lineage: Eukaryota; Viridiplantae; Streptophyta; Magnoliopsida; Poales; Poaceae.